GGGCUAUUAGCUCAGGUGGUUAGAGCGUACGCCUGAUAAGCGUAAGGUCCCUGGUUCGAGUCCAGGAUGGCCCACCA
This 77-nucleotide transfer RNA is filed under the name Candidatus Gastranaerophilales bacterium. RNAcentral's name for it is "tRNA-Ile". It matches the Rfam family "tRNA". From Rfam's summary of the family: Transfer RNA (tRNA) molecules are approximately 80 nucleotides in length. Their secondary structure includes four short double-helical elements and three loops (D, anti-codon, and T loops). RNAcentral also lists the same sequence under 2 other names. The record is from RNAcentral. Lineage: Bacteria; Bacillati; Candidatus Melainabacteria; Candidatus Gastranaerophilales.